UGAAGAGUUUGAUCAUGGCUCAGAUUGAACGCUGGCGGCAGGCCUAACACAUGCAAGUCGAACGGUAACAGGAAGCAGCUUGCUGCUUCGCUGACGAGUGGCGGACGGGUGAGUAAUGUCUGGGAAACUGCCUGAUGGAGGGGGAUAACUACUGGAAACGGUGGCUAAUACCGCAUAACGUCGCAAGACCAAAGAGGGGGACCUUCGGGCCUCUUGCCAUCAGAUGUGCCCAGAUGGGAUUAGCUAGUUGGUGAGGUAACGGCUCACCAAGGCGACGAUCCCUAGCUGGUCUGAGAGGAUGACCAGCCACACUGGAACUGAGACACGGUCCAGACUCCUACGGGAGGCAGCAGUGGGGAAUAUUGCACAAUGGGCGCAAGCCUG
RNAcentral lists this ribosomal RNA (384 nucleotides) under Salmonella enterica subsp. enterica serovar Newport. Its description in RNAcentral is "bacterial SSU rRNA". It matches the Rfam family "Bacterial small subunit ribosomal RNA", at positions 1 to 385 of the family's 1533-position model. Lineage: Bacteria; Pseudomonadati; Pseudomonadota; Gammaproteobacteria; Enterobacterales; Enterobacteriaceae. The record is from RNAcentral.